This 217-nucleotide ribosomal RNA is filed under the name uncultured bacterium. RNAcentral describes it as "partial 16S ribosomal RNA". It matches the Rfam family "Bacterial small subunit ribosomal RNA", at positions 303 to 472 of the family's 1533-position model. The record is from RNAcentral.
AUCCCCCACACUGGUACUAGACACGGACCAGACUCCUACGGGAGGCAUGCAGUGAGGAAUAUUGGACAAUGGAGGCAACUAGACUCCUACGGGAGGCAGNAGUGAGGAAUAUUGGACAAUGGGCGCUGAUCCAGCCAUGCCGCGUGCAGGAAGACUGCCCUAUGGGUUGUAAACUGCUUUUAUACAGGAAGAAACCUUUCCACGUGUGGAGACCUGA